RNAcentral lists this ribosomal RNA (296 nucleotides) under Malus domestica (apple). RNAcentral describes it as "rRNA MD17G0173800". It matches the Rfam family "Bacterial large subunit ribosomal RNA", at positions 1719 to 2018 of the family's 2925-position model. Lineage: Eukaryota; Viridiplantae; Streptophyta; Magnoliopsida; Rosales; Rosaceae. The record is from RNAcentral.
AAAAAAAUCUUUCAUAUAAAAGGUUCAAUUUGAGAUACAAUACAAUAUUUAAACAUUGACUAUGCCCGGGCGACUAUUUACAAAAUACAUAGAUCUCCGCAGAGUCGCAAGACCAUGUAUGGGGGCUGACACUUGCCCAGUUCCUAAAAGUUAAGGAAGUUGGUGACUUGAAGACAGGUGAGCCGACAACCAAAGCCCCAAUGAACAGCAACCGUAACUAUAAUGGUCCUAAGAUAGUGAAAUUUUUUGUCAGAUAAUUUCUGACUAGCACGAAAGGUGUAACAAUCUAGACACUA